CAGUAGCCGCGGUAAUCCGUAGGGUGCAAGCGUUAAUCGGAAUUACUGGGCGUAAAGCGUGCGCAGGCGGUUCGCUAAGACAGAUGUGAAAUCCCCGGGCUUAACCUGGGAACUGCAUUUGUGACUGGCGGGCUAGAGUAUGGCAGAGGGGGGUAGAAUUCCACGUGUAGCAGUGAAAUGCGUAGAGAUGUGGAGGAAUACCGAUGGCGAAGGCAGCCCCCUGGGCCAAUACUGACGCUCAUGCACGAAAGCGUGGGGAGCAAACAGGAUUAGAUACCCCGGUAGUCCCUGUCUCUUAUAC
This 301-nucleotide ribosomal RNA is filed under the name uncultured bacterium. RNAcentral describes it as "partial 16S ribosomal RNA". It matches the Rfam family "Bacterial small subunit ribosomal RNA", at positions 509 to 807 of the family's 1533-position model. The record is from RNAcentral.